Molecule: RNase P RNA, 259 nt
Filed under: Chelonia mydas (Green sea turtle)
Lineage: Eukaryota; Metazoa; Chordata; Testudines; Cheloniidae
Description: Nuclear RNase P
Rfam family: Nuclear RNase P
About the family: Ribonuclease P (RNase P) is a ubiquitous endoribonuclease, found in archaea, bacteria and eukarya as well as chloroplasts and mitochondria. Its best characterised activity is the generation of mature 5'-ends of tRNAs by cleaving the 5'-leader elements of precursor-tRNAs. Cellular RNase Ps are ribonucleoproteins.
Source: Rfam by way of RNAcentral
UAUGUAACAAAAACCACUGAGGUCACAUACAGGGUGCUUGUCACUCACUGUUCAAUGCCUCUAGGAAGGUCAGGAAUUGCCGUUGCAGGGCAUCACCUGCUGCAGGUGAAUGAGUUACCGGCUAUGUUGGGCCCUGGGUGUGGGGCGAAUUGGUCAGGAGAAGCUAGAGGAAGCCCCCUAGUGGAUGCCCAGGCCCCUCACAAGGGUUUGGGACAGACUCAUGUCUGGCAGCACCAAACACCAUUCUGUAUUUGACAUA